Molecule: ribosomal RNA, 143 nt
Filed under: Candidatus Uhrbacteria bacterium RIFCSPLOWO2_02_FULL_48_12
Lineage: Bacteria; Candidatus Uhriibacteriota
Description: partial 16S ribosomal RNA
Rfam family: Bacterial small subunit ribosomal RNA
Source: RNAcentral
GGUGGAUUGUGUGGUUUAAUUCGAUGGUAAGCGAAGAACCUUACCAGGGUUAGAAAUCUAGGUGAAGACCAGUGGAAACAUUGGUCGUCUCACAAGGACUCCUAGACAGGUGCUGCAUGGCUGUCGUCAGUUCGUGAUUUGAA